This 468-nucleotide ribosomal RNA is filed under the name uncultured bacterium. Its description in RNAcentral is "partial 16S ribosomal RNA". It matches the Rfam family "Bacterial small subunit ribosomal RNA", at positions 28 to 507 of the family's 1533-position model. The record is from RNAcentral.
GACGAACGCUGGCGGCGUGCUUAACACAUGCAAGUCGAACGGAAAGGCCCUGCUUUUGUGGGGUGCUCGAGUGGCGAACGGGUGAGUAACACGUGAGUAACCUGCCCUUGACUUUGGGAUAACUUCAGGAAACUGGGGCUAAUACCGGAUAGGAGCUCCUGCUGCAUGGUGGGGGUUGGAAAGUUUCGGCGGUUGGGGAUGGACUCGCGGCUUAUCAGCUUGUUGGUGGGGUAGUGGCUUACCAAGGCUUUGACGGGUAGCCGGCCUGGGAGGGUGACCGGCGACAUUGGGACUGAGGUACGGCCCAGACGCCAACGGGAGGCAGCAGUGGGGAAUAUUGCACAGUGGGCGGAAGCCUGAUGCAGCAGCGCCGCGUGCGGGAUGACGGCCUUCGGGUUGUAAACCGCUUUCGCCUGUGACGAAGCGUGAGUGACGGUAAUGGGUAAAGAAGCACCGGCUAACUACGUG